GCUAUCCUCGCCAUAUAUUGCAAACAUUUUCUGGGUUUUACUCGCGGGAUUCGUCAUGCCAUCUCGAUGUGUAGCGAUAUUAAUUACUCACAGGAAGACUCGAGACUCUAGGAGUGGUCCAAAAAAAAAACUUCUCCUGCAAAGCCACGACAGCUUUGAAAACCUACAACAAUGCAACCUUGGUUUUCCAAAGACGAAGCCAAACAUAAAAAAUUAAGUGGCGGAAACCCUCAACACGAUGAAAAAAGCGUUGCAAGUCAGUUGCCACCCAGUUUCCCAAAAUCAAGAGAGAGUGGGUCGAGUCAUAUGAUG
Molecule: long non-coding RNA, 312 nt
Organism: Corythoichthys intestinalis (scribbled pipefish)
Lineage: Eukaryota; Metazoa; Chordata; Actinopteri; Syngnathiformes; Syngnathidae
Exons: 3
Source: RefSeq, a predicted model, not a curated record